Molecule: ribosomal RNA, 387 nt
Filed under: Sebastes nigrocinctus (tiger rockfish)
Lineage: Eukaryota; Metazoa; Chordata; Actinopteri; Perciformes; Sebastidae
Description: partial 12S ribosomal RNA
Rfam family: Bacterial small subunit ribosomal RNA
Source: RNAcentral
GCCUAGCCCUAAACCUUGGUAAUAUAUCACAUACCCUACCCGCCUGGGAACUACGAGCACCAGCUUGAAACCCAAAGGACUUGGCGGUGCUUUAGACCCCCCUAGAGGAGCCUGUUCUAGAACCGAUAACCCCCGUUCAACCUCACCCUUCCUUGUUUAUCCCGCCUAUAUACCGCCGUCGUCAGCUUACCCUGUGAAGGCCUAAAAGUAAGCACAACUGGCACAACCCAAAACGUCAGGUCGAGGUGUAGCGCAUGGAGGGGGAAGAAAUGGGCUACAUUCCCUAUAUUAGGGAACACGAACGGCGCACUGAAACACGCGCCUGAAGGAGGAUUUAGUAGUAAGCAGAAAAUAGCGUGUUCCGCUGAAAUCGGCCCUGAAGCGCGC